Long non-coding RNA from Leopardus geoffroyi (Geoffroy's cat), 1431 nucleotides. RefSeq lists it as uncharacterized. The record is from RefSeq and is a predicted model, not a curated record. The transcript is spliced from 2 exons. Lineage: Eukaryota; Metazoa; Chordata; Mammalia; Carnivora; Felidae.
AACAGUGAGAUCAUGACCUGAGCUGAAGUCUGACGUUUAACUGACUGAGCCACCCAGGCACCCCAUGUUUCCUUUGAGUAUUUUAACUGUGUUAUCUUUGGCAUAACAUUUUGCUAUUCAAGUGUGAUGAUAAUCUAAGUUUCUUUAUAAAUUAGGAGAUUUUUUUUGCCUAGAUGUCAGAGAGUCUUUUUCCUUAAAAUAUAAUCAUUUUAUUUGGGUAGAUCUUUGGUGUUAGUCUUUCUGAAUUGAUACUCUCAGAUAACUCUCGUAUCUACAGCAGUGUGCAUCCUUUGAGUAUGUAGUUUAAUUAAAAAAAUAAUAGUAUUGGUUAAGUUUUGUUUGUUUUUGUUUUUGUUUUUUACCGGUUUUAUUGUUCUUUUCCCUUAUUUUGGUUUAGUUUUUUAGGGACUCCCGCUGUACUUAUGUUGUAUCUCUAUUGCCUAGCUUGCAAUACUUACUUUCUUUCAGAAUUUAAAAAAAAAUCUUAUGCAUCAUUUCUUUUUUGGUUUUAAAAAGAUUUCUCUGUUUUUGCUUUCUUUUUCUCUUACAGUAUUUAUUUGGUCUUGUGUUCCUAUCAAAAAUGACUUUCACAUUUAUAAAUUAGCUCUUGAAUUCUGUCAACUCAUUUUUGAGUUUUUCUAAUUCUUAUUUAUGUUCUUUCAUGCCUUACCUAUUUUCCUUAUGCCUUUUAGUUUUUUAAUACUAACAGUUUUGGUCGUUUUUUCCUCUUUUUUUGAACACUCAUUCUGGCAUUCUUCCCUUUUCUGUAGGGAUAUUAUUCUGCUACUCACUAUAUUUAUAGUAAUUUUGUAAGGGAUUUGAUCCUGUUAACUUUUUUUUUGCUCAUUUUAUAUAAAAUUAGUUCUUUUGAGUUCUUUAGAAAUUGGCUGUUUUCCUGUGUGUGUUUGUACACGUACUUGCAUGUAUGUCGGCCAAAAAACCUUACUGCUGGGUUUCCUAGCUAUUUGCCUUUUGCACACUUUUAUCUGGACCUUCUCUUUUGUCUCUGUUAUUCCUGUCCCGCCCAACUUUGAUUGCACUGCCAAAAGUUUCUCCACAGUGUUGGGCCCUGUCCAGAAAGGCCUGAUAGGUCAGUGUUGAGAAUUCCUAGGGGUCACACUGCUCCAGUUGAUUCAGGCUCUGCUGCCUGAUUCCUUGCUCUCACCCACUAUUAGAGCAGGGGAAAUCCCUCCCAGUUUCCACUGCUGUUCUCAAAUUGUUCUGCCAUUCUUUCCAGUGAAGAAUACGUAUCAGUUAUUUGGGGGUUCUUCAGGUCUUAGGUAUGUCAGACACUGUAUGGCUUUCCUUCCACGUAGGUAUUGGGAACACACAAGUCUCAUAGCUGGUUGCUCAGCCCUGACUGCUUGUGUUUUAUACCUGAAGAGCAUUUAUUGGUUACCUGGAUUUGUUGUAAAUGUCUGUGGUUUUUUU